GAUGAACGCUGGCGGUGUGCCUAAUACAUGCAAGUCGAGCGGUAAGGUCUCUUCGGAGAUACACGAGCGGCGGACGGGUGAGUAACGCGUAAGAAUGUACCCCAAAGUGAGGGAUAAGCACCAGAAAUGGUGUCUAAUACCGCAUGUGCUCUUCGGAGUAAAGCUUCGGCGCUUUGGGAACAGCUUGCGUAUGAUUAGCUAGUUGGUAAGGUAAUGGCUUACCAAGGCGACGAUCAUUAGCGGGUCUGAGAGGAUGAUCCGCCACACUGGGACUGAGACACGGCCCAGACUCCUACGGGAGGCAGCAGUAGGGAAUUUUCCACAAUGGGGGCAACCCUGAUGGAGCAACACCGCGUGCAGGAUGAAGGCCUUCGGGUUGUAAACUGCUUUUGUCUGUGACGAAUAUGACGGUAGCAGACGAAUAAGGAUCGGCUAACUACGUGCCAGCAGCCGCCGCAG
RNAcentral lists this ribosomal RNA (459 nucleotides) under uncultured bacterium. RNAcentral's name for it is "partial 16S ribosomal RNA". It matches the Rfam family "Bacterial small subunit ribosomal RNA", at positions 28 to 523 of the family's 1533-position model. The record is from RNAcentral.